CGAAGCACUUGUGCUUAGUGGCGAAUGGGUGAGUAACACGUACUUAAUCUGCCCUCAAGUCUGGGACAACAGUUGGAAACGACUGCUAAUACCGGAUAUGUAUAACUUCCGCAUGGAGGUUAUAUGAAAGAAGCGUUUGCUUCGCUUAAGGAUGAGAGUGCGCUGUAUUAGUUAGUUGGUAGGGUAAAGGCCUACCAAGACGUUGAUACAUAGCGGGGUCGAGAGGCUGAACCGCCACACUGGGACUGAGAUACGGCCCAGACUCCUACGGGAGGCAGCAGUAGGGAAUUUUCCACAAUGAACGAAAGUUUGAUGGAGCGACACAGCGUGCAGGAUGAAGGUCUUCGGAUUGUAAACUGCUGUUAUAAGAGAAGAACAAGUUUGAUAGGAAAUGAUCAAACCCUGACGGUACCUUAUCAGAAAGCACCGGCAAACUAUGUGCCAGCAGCCGCGGUAAUACAUAGGGUGCAAGCGUUAUCCGG
This 482-nucleotide ribosomal RNA is filed under the name uncultured bacterium. Its description in RNAcentral is "bacterial SSU rRNA". It matches the Rfam family "Bacterial small subunit ribosomal RNA", at positions 67 to 548 of the family's 1533-position model. The record is from RNAcentral.